GUGGAGAUUGAGAGUGGAGGACGAAAGUGUUAAGAAUCUCCCUCCCCAAAAACUCAACAAAAUCAUGGACUACAGUUUCAACAAGAGGCCAAAAGGAGUCCUGGUAACUGUGCUGAUUUGCUGACGAUCCCGCAUUUGACACACAGCGACCACCCCCCAACCUUCUCCCGCUCCACUUCGGUUGUGUAAUUUAAUAUGUGGACAUAAGUAAAGAAAACCCUGUGUGGGGGGAGCCAGUAGUGCUGUGAUCCCAGCAGAGAAGUGCAUGCCUAGCUCCGCUCAGGCCUCCUCCGUCCUCCGGCCCUGGCCCUAUCACGUCCGCUGAUCUGCUUGAUAAAGAAAAUAAUUCUCUGCUUACCUCGCUGAAUCCGGUGGCUUCCGGGUUUGAGGCCCCCUUUGUAUAGGAGGUACGUAAACGCAUUGUUUGUUGGCUUGCUUGCUUUGAGUGGGGGGAUUAUAUUUAGCAAGAGGGGUUAACCACUUUGCUUUUAGUCCUCUUACAAACUUCCGUUUCCUUAGGUGUCUACUCUCAGGAAAUCUUAAGGAGGCACGGUCCAGCUCAAGCGAGCAGUAGAAUCCGCAUCCCUUGCCUCCCCUUCCAGGCUUCUUCCUACGCCGCUUUGAGUAACCAUCGUGGAUCACUUAUGUUUGGCAGAGCCUGAGUGCCCUAGUUACCCUGGAAGGUUUGUUAACUAGUUGCGAUUUAAAGAAGCAUUCCCCCACACGAUUAAAACAAUAGGCCUUUGAAGUUUUUUCAGCUGAGAGGUAUCAACGAGUUCGAACCAUAACAUUUGAUUAAUCAACACAGAAAAUCAGUUCUAUUUAGGCCUGACAUCGAUGUUACAUCCUGACCCCAGCAGACGUGCCACAUUGUCAGUGACCCUAGAGUCUCAGGGUUUCUCAAAAUGUCAUCCCAAAGCCACCUAUAUGACGAUAAUCUGGAUGCCUGUUGAAUAUUGCAACAACCUCUACCUCGCCUCACACCUACUGAAUAAACAUUUCCAGGAGUAGAGCUUGGAAAUCCGCAUGUUAAUCAAACUUUCCAGAUUAUUCUAUGCAAACUACAGUCAGAGAGUGAAAUGUCUGUUGUUUAGGCCAAUAUUCUUUUUUCAGGAGACUGACCGUAACCAAGAGCCAGAGUAGUAUGAAUUGGUCUGAAGCUCCCCAGCUCCUUACCCUGCUGUCCAAGAUGGUGGAGGCGCCAGAGGCAGGGCAAGAAACAACCCAACUCUCUCAAAAUGAGCGUGUA
Molecule: long non-coding RNA, 1249 nt
Organism: Equus caballus (horse)
Lineage: Eukaryota; Metazoa; Chordata; Mammalia; Perissodactyla; Equidae
Source: Ensembl